Molecule: long non-coding RNA, 620 nt
Filed under: Brassica rapa (field mustard)
Lineage: Eukaryota; Viridiplantae; Streptophyta; Magnoliopsida; Brassicales; Brassicaceae
Description: long non-coding RNA (BRAP_LNC005472)
Source: RNAcentral
ACGGCGUUUAUACUAGCGGAGGUAUUGGAGAAGAGUCAACGGGUCGACGUAUGGGCCUUAACGGCGCAACGAGGCCCAUGUUAUCUUCUGGCACGCUUCGAUGUAGGUUACUCCGAAGAGCUUGGCGCCCCGUUCUUGUAACUAUUCCUGAACAAUAAAGCUAAUAAAAGAUUUGACAAUUUUUUUCCGAUUGAUUAAAUUUGCUUAAUAAGUUACUUAUGAAUUUUAGUGAAUCCCUAUGUUGUUCUUGAUUUCGGUUGUUUUUUUUGGUGGUGAAUUUCUUUGGUAUAGAUAUGUAGGUGCAAGUUUAAUUUUAGUGAAAAUUGCAAGAAUUGCUUUUUUUUUUUGUGAGUAAUUGAGUUUUUAUUCAAAAAACAAAAGCAAAAUCCAAUCUCAGAAUGUUUUAGAUCGGACAUGACGAAGGCCGACCGUUUUAUUAGGAUGGUGAUUGGCUGAAACCAAACCAGUUCGGAAAAGACUUAUGAUUUGAAAUUAACAAAAAAAAAUACAUGCCAUAGUUUUCUGGUGAUGCCUUAAAACUCAGAGAAAACAAACCUACACAGUGUAACAGAGUGAUGCACUUCUCUCGCCGAAAAGCUUCUUUCUCGUGACGUCGCCGG